Molecule: long non-coding RNA, 297 nt
Filed under: Vigna radiata
Lineage: Eukaryota; Viridiplantae; Streptophyta; Magnoliopsida; Fabales; Fabaceae
Description: long non-coding RNA (VRAD_LNC018148)
Source: RNAcentral
GAGUAAUGUCAUACAUCCGAGGUCUUAAAUUUGAGAUUAUUUCAUUUUGACUGUUUUUUCGAGACAUAAGUGCACACAUGCUUGAAUUUGUUGGCAAGUGGAUGAUUUUGAAGAGAAUGAAAGUCAUUUGGAAUGGUUUGAAAGACUGGGACCAGCACAUGGGUACUUCAAUCCUCAAAUGAGUGUCAAGACGAAACACAAUAUAUCAAAAAUUUUGCCCCGGUUUGGUGUUUAGGAAAAUGAGCUGGGGUUUGGAUCCAUGAAAAUUGGUGACACAAAAUCAAGUGAGACUUGCAA